GUACAGGUGGUGCAUGGCUGUCGUCAGCUCGUGUCGUGAGAUGUGGGUUAAGUCCCGCAACGAGCGCAACCUUACCCUUAGUUGUUUCCCGAAAGGAUUACCCUCUAAGGGGACUGCCCCGGACAACGGGGAGGAAGGUGGGGAUGACGUCAAGUCCGCAUGCUCCUUACGUCUAGGGCUACACACGUCCUACAAUGGGGUCGACAGUGGGAUGCAAAGCCGCGAGGUGGAGCCAAUCCCCAAACGGCCUCUCAGUUCGGAUAGUAGUCUGCAACUCGACUACUUGAAGUCGGAAUCGCUAGUAAUGGCGGAUCAGCAUGCCGCCGUGAAUACGUUCCCGGGUCUU
RNAcentral lists this ribosomal RNA (346 nucleotides) under uncultured bacterium. RNAcentral describes it as "bacterial SSU rRNA". It matches the Rfam family "Bacterial small subunit ribosomal RNA", at positions 1032 to 1382 of the family's 1533-position model. The record is from RNAcentral.